Non-coding RNA from Phoenix dactylifera (date palm), 1859 nucleotides. NCBI's taxonomy places the organism in Eukaryota, Viridiplantae, Streptophyta, Magnoliopsida, Arecales, Arecaceae. The record is from RefSeq and is a predicted model, not a curated record.
AGAAAAAUAUGGUCAGUUCCACCAGAAUGCUCUUAAGAUUACAUAUAUCACAUUUGUAUGGUCACAUGUCCCAUGCAAUCAGGGAGUGAGAGAUGGAGGGGGUUGCUGCCAGACAGAGAAAAACAAGGUGGUAAUUUCCAACUACACGAAUUGCAUUUUUUGGGGGGAAAGAUGCAUAUAGAAGUUAAUGAAUGAAACCACUCUGCUGAUGCAAGAAAAAGACAGUCAGAGUUAGCAAAGAUAUUAUGCAAAAGGAACUUUCAUCUAAACAAAACCCUAUGAUAGAGAACCUCCUUAAUUGUUCAGACUGAAGGAACACUUUAAGUACCCAUUCUGUCUGUAGGCAGGCCUGUUGACAUGGGGGAAAAAGGAGGAUGCCAAUUGUAAGGAGAAAAUGCUGUACGUUUGAUGGCCAGAGGUAAAAGCAAACGCAUGUUAUUUUGACCAACCAAUUUUGUGGCUACCAGUGCUACUUUCAGCCACCAUACUUGGUCAAAUCUGUAACUGGUGAAGGGUUAAAGAAAUAAUAAGUUGUCUAGAUCCACCAUUUUGAGCUAGUUCAUGCCAUGAAUAGCUUUUGUCCACCAUAAUUAGAAAAAAUAUUGCUAGUGGCAAAAGGAAGGAAAGGAUGUUGCUGAGGCCCAUCAUACUAGGGCAAUUUCAUGGCAUGCACAAUGGUCAUGUUUAAGAUUCGCAAAUUAGCCAGAUUCAUGGCUAAUUUUGAGAUAAAGGAAAACCAAUAAUUCGCCAAAGCCAUGGCAUCUAGUGCUUACUUUGACUGCCAUACUCAGCUAACUUCAUGCUUGGAAUUGGACAAAAGAGGCUUAAUUAUUUGGGCCCACCAUUCUUAGACAUUCUUGGCUUGUGAUGAGCUUUGGUUGAUCACACCUAGCCAAACUCAUGACUAGCAGUGGAUGAAACUGCAAUAUCAGUUUAAUUAUAGGUAUCACUUUCUGUCAUAUGCCAGACCUAAACCAAAUAGCAUAAAAUAUUGUUCAAUUAAUGAUUGCAAGGAAUAAGGAAUCUGCAACCAAUGGAAGGGACCUCUCCAGGACCAGACUAGGUGAAGAUGGUACUCUUAUCCCCAAAAAUCCAAUCCUAUGAUCAAACCAGGCCUAGUUGAAUAAUUAUAAAUACAAUAGAUGGGUUCAUUCAUGUGCAUUUGUGUUUGUGUGUGUGUGCAUGAGAAUGCAGCAUAUUACAUACAAUCAUUUUUUUUAUGACCCAAUUUACCAUGUAAGUAGGUAGACAUAAAAAAGUUUCACCAUAAUUAGGACUGUGUAGAUGAUAACGAAGUUUAGGUUAGAACUUUGAUUGAUCAUCACAUGCUAAUGAGGCUCCAAUUAAAUCUUUAGUAGCCGAUCGGUGCAAACAUAAGAAAAGCAUUGAUUAAAAGAAUACAGUUUUGAUUGGUAGAGUGGGGGGUGGGGGGUGCGGGGGAGUUAAAUCAAAACUAUGAAAAACUAAAUGAUUUAGCAAUAGACAAGGUGUUAAACACAGAUCCUCACAAGGGGCUACUUUAGCUUUUGGUUUACAUUUCUGAAAAGAAGUGGCUUCCAAGAAAUAAAACAAUAGCAUGAUGAUGAUGGAGAAACCUGCUAUGAUAGCAAUAACAAUUGAUAAUAAAAAUGGGUAAGUCUUGACUCAUUACAUAGAUUUGGCAUCCUAAAAGGAGGAAAAAGAAAACAUAGAAACAAAGGAAGCAUUGUUUCAUACUUUUAUACAACCAUGGAAUUAAUUAACAAUGAAAUUGGGUCUUAUCUAGACAUAAUUUGAUUGUGAUCCAACACACAAAAACAAGGCUUACUUCAGACAGGGUACUUACUACUUAAACCAUAUCUUUAUAGCUGCUAAAUGGA